RNAcentral lists this long non-coding RNA (1301 nucleotides) under Homo sapiens (human). RNAcentral describes it as "PPP1CB divergent transcript". Lineage: Eukaryota; Metazoa; Chordata; Mammalia; Primates; Hominidae. The record is from RNAcentral.
AGGCGCCAGGGAGGUUCCCCGGCUUUGCCGCGCGGAGGAAGUCCCGGUUACGCAGAGCGCGCUGGGGCAGGGCUGACCUUCCCCUUUCUCUACUUCACUGGCCUCCUCCAGACGUGGUGGUUGCGCCCUUUCGGCCUCGCUUUCCGUUUUUUGGCUUCAUCCCCUAGAUCUGCAAACAGUUCCUCGUGUUUCUUCCGUUAGCCGGGAAACGCGAACUGCAGCGUUUGGGACCCGGGUUUGCGCGUGUGGAAAGCAAAAGGGGUUACUCUGCUGGAGUUCGACAUUGCAAAUAAAGAUAAUGUCUGUGCCUAUCAGAUAAAGGCAAACCAGUGCUCAGAGGAACCCAACCAUCUCUGAAUUGAGACCAGAGAGCUGUCUCUAUGGAUAGUCCUUAGAGAAGGCAUUUCGGAACACAGUAAACAGCAGCCUGGUGACUCCGAUUACAGGGCCAGUUGCCUUUGUUACAAUAAAAGCAAGUCAUCUACACAGAUUUUUCCUACCAGGAAGAGCAUGUGCUGACCAACAGACAUGAAUUUCAGCCUGGUAGUUACAACAUUCACAGGAGUUUCACUCGUUGCCCAGGCUGGAGUGCAACGGCGCGAUCUCAGCUCACUGCAACCUCCGCCUCCCCAGUUCAAGCGAUUCUCCUGCCUCAGCCUCCUGAGUCACUGGAAUUACGGGCGCCUGACACCACGCCCAGCUAAUUUUUUGUAUUUUUAGUAGACAUGGGGUUUCACUAUGUUGGCCAGGCUGGUCUCGAACUCCUGACCUCAUGAUCCUCCUGCCUCAGCCUCCCAAAGCACUGGGAUUACAGGUGUGAGCCACUGUGCCUGGUCCAUUAAAAACAUUUGUAAAGCUAUGGUGUUGAUAAAGUAUUAUGAAAGACUGCAAAAAAAGAUGGCUAAUUUUUAGUUAUUAUUGCACAUGUUUAGAGGAGCUAAUGACAUUUUCUAUGAUUAAUAAAAGACAUUAUUUAUGUUUUUAUUUAUGUAUUCCACAACAUUUAUUUUAUUUUCUCCAUUUCAGGAAAACCACUAUGUUGUUACAAUAAAGAUUUUCAUGUAAUUUGUGUUCAAUUGAUAGUAAUAAUGUAACAAGUUAAAAAUGAAGGUAAUUGUGUUUAAAAUUUGAGCAUAUUUUCAUCAAAAUGUAAGUUAAAGUGAUUGUAAAUUUUAAGAUCAUAAUUACUUUGUAUAUCUUCAAGAAAAUUAUUGUUUUAAAAUAUUUAUGCCUAUUAAAAUUAGAAGGCAAAAUAAAAAUAUAUGAAUACCAACAUUUUAAAUAAAAAUCAUUUAAAUAAA